Molecule: long non-coding RNA, 332 nt
Organism: Cydia amplana
Lineage: Eukaryota; Metazoa; Arthropoda; Insecta; Lepidoptera; Tortricidae
Exons: 2
Source: RefSeq, a predicted model, not a curated record
GAUAAAACUAAAAAAAAUAUAUGAUGUACAUUACCAUGUAAACUUCCACCGAAAAUUGUUUUGAACGAGAUCUAGUAAGUAGUUUUUUUUUAUACGGGGAUAGGUCUUCAAAAAUGAUAUUGAGGUUUGUAAUAUCAUUUUUUUCUAAACUGAAUAGUUUGCGCGAGAGACACUUCCAAAGUGGUAAAAUGUGUGUCCCCCCCCCUGUAACUUCUAAAAUAAGAGAAUGAUAAAACUAAAAAAAAUAUAUGAUGUACAUUACCAUGUAAACUUCCACCGAAAAUUGGUUUGAACGAGAUCUAGCAAGUAGUUUUUUUUUAAUACAUCAUAAA